Molecule: non-coding RNA, 116 nt
Organism: Shewanella woodyi ATCC 51908
Lineage: Bacteria; Pseudomonadati; Pseudomonadota; Gammaproteobacteria; Alteromonadales; Shewanellaceae
Source: Rfam
UUAUCCGCGAGUAUUGGUCUGGAGGAAGCCGCUAGCAAAUUUGCGAGCUGAUGAACAAGAACAUCAUAUGAGGCGUAGGCAGAUUUAUAGAGCGGCAGAUUUAUAGAGCCGGCAGA